GUGACAGAUUUUGAAAGCAUGGUAUAAGAGUUUCAGGUGAAUGCAGUGAUCUUUUCUUGCUGAGAUCUCAGCCUUUUUUGACAGCAAUCUCAAUGUGGCUUCAGAUGCUCAAGUGAAGAAAGACCUGUAGUCAGCAACCACGAACAUCUCUACCUCCUACUAUGUGCUAUGAAGAUCUUUUCUGUGUGCUCAAGUAUUUCUAAUGUUUAAAGUGAUGACAAAUGGCUCCAGUGGCAAAGAAUUGUGAAUGCUGGAAAAACAUCUGCUUAACAGC
RNAcentral lists this long non-coding RNA (274 nucleotides) under Phasianus colchicus (ring-necked pheasant). RNAcentral describes it as "lncRNA (ENSPCLG00000002526.1)". The record is from RNAcentral. Lineage: Eukaryota; Metazoa; Chordata; Aves; Galliformes; Phasianidae.